Non-coding RNA from Camelina sativa (false flax), 1010 nucleotides. NCBI's taxonomy places the organism in Eukaryota, Viridiplantae, Streptophyta, Magnoliopsida, Brassicales, Brassicaceae. The record is from RefSeq and is a predicted model, not a curated record.
UUAAGACCCAUCACCUAAUCUUUGAAGAUGAUAUAACUGAUUUCAUCGCUCUCUUUUCUCCAACCCGAUUAUCUCAAACUUCAAUAUUCGUUGGCACAAAUAUCAUCCAAAUUAUCUUUAUUCGUCCACUGAAGUGAAGACUUCAUAUCCAUUUUCUUAAUUUUUCUGAGAGAAUGCGUGAUGGAGUAGCAACGGAAAUUGGCCUUGACUCUUGCAUUUAAAAAGUUUUUAAAGCGUUUAAAACCAUUUAUCUUCUUCCAAUGUAUUACAUUGAGCAAUGGAUAUACUCCUUGUCUGUAACAGGUGAAUCAUCAUCAACAGUAUGUCUUUGUCUGAUCUUCUAUGUGUUUUGUUAUCAUUUCCUCUUAUAAAGUCAAUUUUGCAAUGACCGUAAGAAAAGUGGAUUGUGUCGACUUGUGGCAACUGAACACGAUCGUUUAAAUAGACAUGAGGAACUAGAUGAAGAAUAGCGAGCAACGCCCCUCAGGCUCAGACACAAUAACAAAAUAUUGGUUGGAAACAAGGCUGACAUGGACGAAACAAAAAGGCGAAGGGCCAAGCUUUAGCUGAGGAGUAUGGAAUCAAAUUCUUUAAGACAUUGAGCUAAAUCAAAACAUAAUAUGUGUCAUGUUUUCCAUUAAUGUGUUCUUUAAAUUACUGAUGUGAUUAUAAUUAGCGCAGGGUGCAAACAGAUAUAAAGGAGGAGGUGUGAAUUGCAGGAGGUUGAUACUCGCUCUUCUAAUUAUCUCUUGUAGUUUUGUAGCCUCAGGUAUCACGAUCCGAAAUCAAGAUGAUGUCUCAUAGUCUUCUACAACCGAAAAGGCUGUAGUCGAUUAAUAAUUUUUAACAAAGACGGGGAUUCAUAGCUUUGAAAUGAUACGCUCAAAGAUGUUUACUUUGUCUCACUGGACUGUAUUUGUUGUGACUUUGGUCAAAUGGGACAGAGACGCAACUGUAUAUACCGAGGAUCUGUUUGGAUUAAUAUGUCAAAGGUUUCUUAUUCUCUUUCA